Hipposideros armiger (great roundleaf bat) is the source of this 1617-nucleotide long non-coding RNA. RefSeq lists it as uncharacterized. The transcript has 2 exons. Lineage: Eukaryota; Metazoa; Chordata; Mammalia; Chiroptera; Hipposideridae. The record is from RefSeq and is a predicted model, not a curated record.
GGCGAGACUGGUGGCGGUGGAGAGUGGAAUGUGGUUUUGAGGUGGUUUUCAGUGUUUGAGACAGUUGGCCUUCUCUGGAAGAAUCUCCGGAGACUGGGGCUUUCCUUGGCCGGGAGGUGUCUGAGGAAAAGGAGCUUGUAAGGGGUAGUAUCGGUCUCCCCCCUACGCCCCUCUUGCAGACAUCCUCCUGGGCUCUUAAAUCUCGCUACUCCUUCAUCCAUGUUCCAUGCUUACACCAGAGCCCAGAGAUUGGAGUGAUCACUCAUUCUGUUUCUGUUCUUCUGGCCCUUCUCCGCAGAGCAGCUUACACCCCACUCGCGUCCCCUUUCUAAUCCAAAUCUGGGCCUUGAGGGCUACGGUGGAUCAUUUGGAAAUCUGGUCUGUUUAUGAAAACUGGACAAGCUGGAGCCAGCUCCAGGUCCUGCUCAGUGAUGGCCACCUCAUCCUCCUGGCUCUGCAUCUGGUUCCAGUCCUCAUGGCUGCAGGGAGACAAGCACACGAGUUGAUUCCUCCUCGAAAAUGUGUGCAUGAGACAUAUCUGCAGCAUUCCUACCACCAGCAGCGCCUAACCAAAGAUACUACCAGGGCUCCAAUUCCUCUGGUAUCAACACAAUGUCCCCAAGGGCCACAUUCUUGGUACACCCAGCAGCAAAGCGCUGAUAACCAAGAAAACAAAGUCCCAGCUUUCAUGGGCAAGGCUGAGAUGAAGCAGAAUUAUGAGGGAUGGAACUCCUUGCUGUUUCCGUUUUGGGGUACACUCUGUGAUCUUGCUAGGGCUUGCUAGAUAAGGAAAGUAGGCAGAGAUUUGAAUUCAAUCAAGUAUACUGGCCUGUUCUUUUCCUGGGCACUCUGGAAGUGCAAGCUGUGCUGGUGUCUUGGAUACUAAGUGGGGAGAGGGGAGCAGACUAAGGGAGCUGUCAGUGCUUUGCCAAGUAGUCCAACAAAAUCACAUCUGGUUUUCAGAGGUCUCCUUAAGAUUAUGCUUUGGGUUAAAUGCCUCUUAACAGAAAACUAAAGUAAAAAGCUAGUGAAAUGUUGUAACUCUUCUUUUCAGGUACCAUAUUUAGAAGAAAGGCAUGUGACACAUUAUCGUAAACAUGAAACACUGAAAAUCCAGUAUUAAGCAUUUUUCCAACAGUAUGCAUAAAUUAUACGUCAUCUUUACAAUAGUUAAAGAAUUCCUCCACGUGCUAGAGAUACAAAACUAAGUAAGACAGCACCCAAGGCCUUUGAGGUCCUCAUAAUAUAGUGGGGGAGACAGAUACACAUCUGUGAUAGAAUUACAGUAAGUUCUCAAUGUCGAUAGGUUCUGCAACUUUAAGAUAAAUGACAUACAACAAAACCAAUUUUACCAUAGGCUAAUUGAUAUAAACAAGAAUUAACUUCCUAGGGCAUCUCGUCAAUGUUAUAAAGAAAUGACGUUGAACAAAAUGGCGUUAUUUGAGGAUCUCCUGUAGUUCGUUCAGUUUGAAGAAGUUAAGAAAGGAGAUGUCGUUCAGAUACAAAUUGUUUUGCUUUUUCUUGUACUACCCCCAUCUCAGAGAAGAGUAAACAAAGACCCAGUAACUUUGAAGAACUUAAAUCUGAAUCAGCAAUAAAAUUAUUUAGACCUCCUAA